GAUGAAGAACGCAGCGAAAUGCGAUAAGUAAUGUGAAUUGCAGAAUUCAGUGAAUCAUCGAAUCUUUGAACGCACAUUGCGCCCGCCAGUAUUCUGGCGGGCAUGCCUGUUCGAGCGUCAUUUCAACCAUCAAGCCCCAGGCUUGUGUUGGGGACCUGCGGCUGCCGCAGGCCCUGAAAACCAGUGGCGGGCUCGCUGUCACACCGGGCGUAGUAGAUUUUAUCUCGCUCAGGGCGUGCUGCGGGUUCCGGCCGUUAAAAAGCCUUUUUUACCCAAGGUUGACCUCGGAUCAGGUAGGAAGACCCGCUGAACUUAAGCAUAUCAAUAAGCGGAGA
This 335-nucleotide unclassified non-coding RNA is filed under the name soil metagenome. Its description in RNAcentral is "partial contains 5.8S ribosomal RNA, internal transcribed spacer 2, and large subunit ribosomal RNA". The stretch from base 1 to 120 matches the Rfam family "5.8S ribosomal RNA", at positions 35 to 154 of the family's 154-position model. The record is from RNAcentral.